Molecule: long non-coding RNA, 2542 nt
Organism: Heterocephalus glaber (naked mole-rat)
Lineage: Eukaryota; Metazoa; Chordata; Mammalia; Rodentia; Bathyergidae
Source: RefSeq, a predicted model, not a curated record
CUGUAUAAUAUGUUACAUAAUCUUUAACUGGUUCACACAUCUAUUUUAGUCUAUCCCAUAGGCAUACCUUCCCAUGAUAGCGUCCCAGAAGGCAUUUUGCUUGAAAUUAAAUCCCAUACCAAUUUUUCCUGAAACUAGAACAUAUUUCUAUUUCUUAGAUCAUAUUGCAGCAGAAGUUAGGACGAGAGCUGUGGUGAUCAACACUGGGUAGAGAACAGGGAGUGGCUGCCCUGCACUGCUUGUCUUGUGCAGGCAGAAAGGGACGAUGGGAUAAGGUCCUUUUCUGAAAAGGUAGCAGAGAUUCUACAAGUGUCUCCACACUAGUGCCCAUCCAGUAGGACCCUUGGAAGAACAAUUGUUUUUCCCUCUCUCCCUGCACCCAGUCACAAUGGGCGACAGUUACGGCAGUUGGGGGGAAGCUACCAAUGUGCGAGUCUGAAGCCCAGGUGAACUGUGAGCCGGUUCCCUUUGCCCUUAGCAACUGGAAGCCUGUGGACAUUUUUCCCCUUCCCUACCCACCAUGCUUGGUUUUUCUGUAAGGGUGGGGAGCAUGGGUGGGAAAGAGGAGGCUGGGGCAGGGUCCACUGAGUUGCACACUUGGACUAGUAGCUCUUAGGUCUUGGAUUGGUAGAUUGCUUUCAGUGCUGUAAGUAUGCCAUGGAAGAAGGUACAGAGUUUAACUGGCAUCUGUGUUGUGUUUAGUCUGUGUUGACAUUUGGACAGGGAGAUUGUGUUCUUGAUCUAGUUAUUCAUUCAGUUAACAUUAUUAAGUCUGGAACAUGAAAACCCCUGCUGGGGGCUGCAUAAUCAGAGGUGGGGCUGACCUCAAAGGGCUGGCCUUUGAGUGAAGCUCUGGUAGAGGACUGUUUCAGAGGCCUAAAUGUGUGUGCAGAGUACAGUGACUCAGUGAAGAAUGGCAAAUUUUUGAGUGGCUGCGCCAGUGUCAGCUUGGUGGAGUAGAAAGAGAUGAGCCAGCUGCCAUGCAGUGAACAGCUUCCUUCUGUGAUCCUAUUCUGCCAUGCCAUUUCUGACUUGAGCCAACCUACCACGGACUCAAUCCACUGAAACUCAGGCAGGUGAAACCACUGAGCUAAAUCACCGGCCCUUCACUGAUUUUUGUUUCGGACAGACAGACUUGGAAUCUCCUCAUUUGGAACCCGUCAUUUACUACCAUGUAGCUUGUCCAAGCACUGCCCAAAAGUAGAGGAGAGCUAAAUCUUUCAAGUAAAAGCUACCACUGCAGCCUCUACCAGUUUAAAGAGACAGUAACUCCGCAUUUUAUAAAUAUUCUCGCUCCUUCCUUCCUUCUGCAGAGCACUGCUCUCACUUCAAAUUGUGCAUAACUUUGCCAGCUCGUGUUUCUUUUUUCCCCCUUAUUCAACUCCAUACCUUAUUCUGGAUCAAAUACUACAACAGAUGUAAUAAUUACAAAACCAACGUGGUUAAUAAAAGAUCCCUUCCAAUCCGUUUCAGUAAGUUUAAGAGGCACAAUGAAAUAAUGAUGAAUGCAACUACGUGUCACUUAUAAAAUUACCAUUAUGGCAGAUAAAAACUCCAAUGAAGGAAAAGAGUAGAUCCAAAGGUAAAAGCAGCUGCCUUUUGCCAUCAGUCUAGGAACAGGCAUCUGACCCCACAGGGCUUCCAAAGAAGUUAAUGUAAGGAAUGCGCCCUUUGCAGCUCGGCCACAAGCAAAAAUGAAGCAAGAAGCACAUCAGUUUGGAACUUUCCCCCAAAGGCUCUAGUUCUCCAAAGUAGGUUCCUAACUCCCACCUACAGAGAGAAAGCCAGUGCCAGAGGCAGCACCCAGGGACAAGCAAAUUAGCAUUUCUAAGGUCAGCUGCUGACAGGCUUAACUGUUUACAGCAACCAGACUCUUUGGGCUGCUGAAGCUAAAGGUUUAACCGCUCUGGCUUACUCAGUACCACAAGAAACCAAUUUACCACGUCAGCUUCUGAAUAUGAAUCCUCUAGAUGCAGAUUCAAAUUAACAUACAACAUCUCAUACAGAAGCAAAUAUUAACUAGAUCAUUUUUCAUUUUAAGCUGGCUAAACAAGGUUUUUCUCAAGAACCUAAAAUACAACCAUUUCAGUGGUAGACGAAUAACAAGUACAAAAGAAAUCAACAGAGAAUAUCUUGUUUUACCAACUGUGAUUUAACCAAAACUGCUAAAAAGUUGCAAAGUCAAUUGGUUUGGUUACCUCUCCAAUUUUUUGCCUUUCUCUGACAAGUCACAGGAAAGUGAAAUAAUCUAUAUCCCGAUUAUCUAAAUCAGCAGCCACAUGCUACCUGUGCCUACUAAGCAGAGGAAAUGCGGCUUACCCAGAGUGAGGUGCAGUGUUACAAUUAUGAUUUUUAGCUCCCCCUCAAAGACUAUCAAAAUAACUCAAUAACUUUCAUACUGAUUACAUGUUGAAAUAGUCUGAAUAUGCUGGAUUAAAAAUAUUAAUCUCUCCUCUUUACCUUUUGUAAUGAAGACAGUAGAAAAUUUCAAGUUACACAUGUGGCUGAACUGUAUUUUUAUUGGACCGCAGUGCUAUAUGUA